Danio rerio (zebrafish) is the source of this 1107-nucleotide non-coding RNA. NCBI's taxonomy places the organism in Eukaryota, Metazoa, Chordata, Actinopteri, Cypriniformes, Danionidae. The record is from RefSeq and is a predicted model, not a curated record.
CCACCCUAAAGCUAAACAAGCAGCUUAAGUAAUAUGUUAUUCUAAUUGGCCAACGCAUUUGACCGGAAAUAAAACCUUUGACCAAUGAAAAACCUUUUGCCACGCCCCUACCGGAAAAAACUUUCGACCAAUGAAAAACCUUUUGCCACGCCCCUACCUUUUACCACGCCCAUUUCUCCAGGCUGCAGUUACCCCCUACUCGUUUGUUUCGUAAAAGCGAAAGUACCAGAAGGUUUUAUUUCCGGGUUUGCUCACCUGAGUUUACGGUCAGGAUCAGAAUGGCGUAUCAGGUCCGCAUCAGGAUUAAUAGAAGCACUAUUAAAUUAUUAUCAGUUUCGUCAUCGAGUGAAGAGUUUGAGAAAUUCACCAUUAGAGAACUGAAGAGAAAAGCACUGAGUUACUUGCCUGGAGAUAACAAUCCGGACAGUCUGAGGGUGAUUUUCGGUCGAAAUGAGCUUGGAGAUGAUCAAACAUUUGAAUCGUGUAGGAUUCAACAUCUGUCUCUCCUGUACAUCGUGCUCAAGAUGCCUGGAGUUUGAGGCCCACUUCCGCAUGAAGAAGGAUUUCCCAGAUCUGACUCAAUGGAAAGAUUAAGUUACAGCAUGUGAAGUGAACUUCAAUAUGAUUAAGAGUUAAUAUUUUGCACACUGCAGAAUGAAUGAGAACAUCGUCGCAUCAUAUACAACAACACUAUCAGAACUUACCUAUGUUUGCAGCAACUGUUUGUAAAUAAUUUUUUAAAUAAUUUUUUGUAAAGUCCACACUAGGUGUUACGAGAACCAGCGAUUGCUUUCCGGAGAUCGCUGGUUUCCACUAUACCAGUGUAACCGGUUCUGCGUUGUGUUUUCUUUGUUUUAUUAAGGAAUAACCAGUCGGAGAUCUGCAGUUGUGACGGCUCUUUACUCACUGAGAAUAAAUCAAAAAGCACAGCUUUUACAGUGUGUCUUCGCCCUUACAGCUUUUCUAUUAAAAGUAAAGUGCAAUACAUUUAGCAUUCACAUGCUUCAGUUAGGCUAAAGUCAAUCAAAACCUCAAUUUAAGUGAUGAGACAAAAAUAAUGAAAUAUAUGUGAAAAAUAAAGGUGUAAAUAUUAUUUAAACAUGAAAA